RNAcentral lists this ribosomal RNA (440 nucleotides) under uncultured bacterium. RNAcentral's name for it is "partial 16S ribosomal RNA". It matches the Rfam family "Bacterial small subunit ribosomal RNA", at positions 338 to 795 of the family's 1533-position model. The record is from RNAcentral.
CCUACGGGAGGCAGCAGUGGGGAAUAUUGCACAAUGGGGGAAACCCUGAUGCAGCGACGCCGCGUGAGUGAAGAAGUAUUUCGGUACGUAAAGCUCUAUCAGCAGGGAAGAAAAUGACGGUACCUGACUAAGAAGCCACGGCUAACUACGGGCCAGCAGCCGCGGUAAUACGUAGGGGGCAAGCGUUAUCCGGAUUUACUGGGUGUAAAGGGAGCGUAGACGGCAGCGCAAGUCUGGAGUGACAUCCCAUGGCUUAACCAUGGAACUGCUUUGGAAACUGUGCAGCUAGAGUGCAGGAGAGGUAAGCGGAAUUCCUCGUGUAGCGGUGAAAUGCGUAGAUAUUAGGAGGAACACCAGUGGCGAAGGCGGCUUACUGGACUGUAACUGACGUUGAGGCUCGAAAGCGUGGGGAGCAAACAGGAUUAGAUACCCUUGUAGUC